GAGAGGCAGCUUGUUUCCAUAGGUUUAUGCUGUUAACUGUAAGCAGUCAGAUCUAUUUUUCCUUUCUAGGUUGCUCCUGUUAGCCCUGAUAUGUUUCCUUUGCAAUUGGCAUGUUCAAUGUGAAGACUGAGUCCCAAUCUUCAUACAGAAUAGAAUGUGACUCCACAAGGGAACUAGCAGAUUUUGCAGUCAGUUUAGGAAGAGAGGGGCUCUCCAGUGGUUGGUUCAACUGAUAUACCUGAAGACAGAUUCAACUCCCUGUGGAGUGUCUGACUGCAUGAUUUAAAAUUAUCAUUUUAUGCAGCAAUUUUUCUACCCAUUUCUCCCUGCUAAUGCUGAGUCAGAGAGUUCAGAGUAUUUAAUGGAAAAUGGAGCGACAAGUAUCUUACAGCAUGACUGAAAACCAGCAGUCAAUGGGGAGACACCCACUGGCUCCACUUAGCUUUAGAAAUCUGUACCAAAGCGUG
Molecule: long non-coding RNA, 467 nt
Filed under: Coturnix japonica (Japanese quail)
Lineage: Eukaryota; Metazoa; Chordata; Aves; Galliformes; Phasianidae
Description: lncRNA (ENSCJPG00005011557.1)
Source: RNAcentral